Molecule: ribosomal RNA, 483 nt
Filed under: uncultured bacterium
Lineage: Bacteria
Description: partial 16S ribosomal RNA
Rfam family: Bacterial small subunit ribosomal RNA
Source: RNAcentral
GACGAACGCUGGCGGCGUGCUUAACACAUGCAAGUCGAACGCUGAAGCUCAGCUUUUGUUGGGUGGAUGAGUGGCGAACGGGUGAGUAACACGUGAGUAACCUGCCCCCUUCUUUGGGAUAACGCCCGGAAACGGGUGCUAAUACUGGAUAUUCACUGGUCUUCGCAUGGGGGUUGGUGGAAAGGGUUUUUCUGGUGGGGGAUGGGCUCGCGGCCUAUCAGCUUGUUGGUGGGGUGAUGGCCUACCAAGGCUUUGACGGGUAGCCGGCCUGAGAGGGUGACCGGUCACAUUGGGACUGAGAUACGGCCCAGACUCCGACGGGAGGCAGCAGUGGGGAAUAUUGCACAAUGGGCGCAAGCCUGAUGCAGCGACGCCGCGUGAGGGAUGGAGGCCGUCGGGUUGUGAACCUCCUUCGCUCAUGGUCAAGCCGCAACAAUGGUUGUGGUGAGGGUAGUGGGUAAAGAAGCGCCGGCUAACUACGUG